RNAcentral lists this unclassified non-coding RNA (315 nucleotides) under uncultured Thelephorales. RNAcentral describes it as "sequence contains 5.8S rRNA gene, ITS2, 28S rRNA gene". The record is from RNAcentral. Lineage: Eukaryota; Fungi; Basidiomycota; Agaricomycetes; Thelephorales.
AACGCACCUUGCGCCCUUUGGCUAUUCCGAAGGGCAUGCCUGUUUGAGUAUCAAGAGCACCUCAACUCCUCAUGGCUUGCCAUGAUGAGCUUGGACCCUGGGGGUUUUGCUGGCUCAUGGUCAGCUCCUCUCAAAUGGAUCAGCUCGCCAGUGUUUGGUGGCAUCACAGGUGUGAUAAUUAUCUACGCUUGUGAUUUCCUCACCAGGCAACCUUUAGUGAUGGAGGUUCACUGGAGCUCAUAAAUGUCUCUCCUCAGCGAAGACAGCUUUUGAACGUUUGAUCUCAAAUCAGGUAGGACUACCCGCUGAACUUAA